UACGUAGGGGGCAAGCGUUGUCCGGAAUCAUUGGGCGUAAAGAGCGCGUAGGCGGCCCUGUAAGUCCGCUGUGAAAGCCCUGGGCUCAACUCAGGAAUUGCAUUGGAAACUGGCGGACUCAGAGUACCGGAGAGGGAAGCGGAAUUCCUGGUGUAGCGGUGAAAUGCGUAGAUACCAGGAGGAACACCGGUGGCGAAAGCGGUUUCCUGGCCGAGUACUGACGCUGAGGCACGAAAGCGUGGGGAGCGAACAGG
Molecule: ribosomal RNA, 254 nt
Filed under: uncultured bacterium
Lineage: Bacteria
Description: partial 16S ribosomal RNA
Rfam family: Bacterial small subunit ribosomal RNA
Source: RNAcentral